GAUGAACGCUGGCGGCGUGCCUAAUACAUGCAAGUCGAGCGAACGGACGAGAAGCUUGCUUCUCUGAUGUUAGCGGCGGACGGGUAAGUAACACGUGGAUAACCUACCUAUAAGACUGGGAUAACUUCGGGAAACCGGAGCUAAUACCGGAUAAUAUUUUGAACCGCAUGGUUCAAAAGUGAACGACGGUCUUGCUGUCACUUAUAGAUGGAUCCGCGCUGCAUUAGCUAGUUGGUAAGGUAACGGCUUACCAAGGCAACGAUGCAUAGCCGACCUGAGAGGGCGAUCGGCCACACUGGAACUGAGACACGGUCCAGACUCCUACGGGAGGCAGCAGUAGGGAAUCUUCCGCAAUGGGCGAAAGCCUGACGGAGCAACGCCGCGUGAGUGAUGAAGGUCUUCGGAUCGUAAAACUCUGUUAUUAGGGAAGAACAUAUGUGUAAGUAACUGUGCACAUCUUGACGGUACCUAAUCAGAAAGCCACGGCUAACUACGUG
RNAcentral lists this ribosomal RNA (497 nucleotides) under uncultured bacterium. RNAcentral's name for it is "partial 16S ribosomal RNA". It matches the Rfam family "Bacterial small subunit ribosomal RNA", at positions 28 to 507 of the family's 1533-position model. The record is from RNAcentral.